CCUACGGGAGGCAGCAGUGGGGAAUAUUGCACAAUGGACGAAAGUCUGAUGCAGCAACGCCGCGUGGAGGAUGACACAUUUCGGUGCGUAAACUCCUUUUAUGUGAGAAGAUAAUGACGGUAUCACAUGAAUAAGCACCGGCUAACUCCGU
RNAcentral lists this ribosomal RNA (151 nucleotides) under uncultured Campylobacterota bacterium. RNAcentral's name for it is "uncultured Epsilonproteobacteria bacterium partial 16S ribosomal RNA". It matches the Rfam family "Bacterial small subunit ribosomal RNA", at positions 338 to 506 of the family's 1533-position model. Lineage: Bacteria; Pseudomonadati; Campylobacterota. The record is from RNAcentral.